CCUACGGGUGGCAGCAGUGAGGAAUAUUGGUCAAUGGGCGCGAGCCUGAACCAGCCAAGUCGCGUGAGGGAAGACGGUCCUAUGGAUUGUAAACCUCUUUUGUCGGGGAGCAAAAGACGCCACGCGUGGCGUUCCGAGAGUACCCGAAGAAAAAGCAUCGGCUAACUCCGUGCCAGCAGCCGCGGUACUACGGAGGAUGCGAGCGUUAUCCGGAUUUAUUGGGUUUAAAGGGUGCGCAGGCGGAAGAUCAAGUCAGCGGUAAAAUUGAGAGGCUCAACCUCGUCGAGCCGUUGAAACUGGUUGUCUUGAGUGAGUGAGAAGUAUGCGGAAUGCGUGGUGUAGCGGUGAAAUGCAUAGAUAUCACGCAGAACUACGAUUGCGAAGGCAGCAUACCGGCGCUCAACUGACGCUCAUGCACGAAAGUGUGGGUAUCGAACAGGAUUAGAUACCCCAGUAGUC
This 459-nucleotide ribosomal RNA is filed under the name uncultured bacterium. RNAcentral's name for it is "partial 16S ribosomal RNA". It matches the Rfam family "Bacterial small subunit ribosomal RNA", at positions 338 to 795 of the family's 1533-position model. The record is from RNAcentral.